Long non-coding RNA from Anopheles bellator, 777 nucleotides. RefSeq lists it as uncharacterized. NCBI's taxonomy places the organism in Eukaryota, Metazoa, Arthropoda, Insecta, Diptera, Culicidae. The record is from RefSeq and is a predicted model, not a curated record. The transcript is spliced from 3 exons.
CGAACGGCGAGCGAAAUAGCAAACAUGAUAGCAAACGUUACACAACUAUGUCCGGAACACGGGACAGCUAUGAUGCAGCAGAUUGUGUGCAACUUGAGCCAAUAUAUCCCCGGUAUGCCAAACGAUGCAAGGGUCGCGCUGCAGAGGCAAUCGAAACAUUGGACAGGGUGGAAUAUCAAGCCCGAAGAGAUCCGUGAAGGUGGCAAGGUGAUUGGCUCCAUCUGGUAUCGCGGUUUAAAAGCCGCAGUUCUGGAAAACUUGCAAUGUGUCACUUCUAGCAACGUGGAAUUAGACAUCUUCGUCGACGAAGCGAAGUUGUUCCAGAUAACACGACCAAAACUUACCUCAUGGGUUAUUCUGGGACGUUUGAACGAAGGAACCAAACUGGGUUAUCCUUUCCCCAUUGCCGUGUUUUGCGGCGUAGAUAAGCCCCCCGUAGAAGAAUUCCUCGGCCCUUUGUGCGACGAAGCAAGCGAGUUUGUUGGCAGGCGAGAACAACCACGCGAAUUGGUGGUUGACGAUAGUAAAUCCGUGAUGAUCGGAGCACGAAUCGUGAUAACCGACGCCACGGCACGAUCUUUCGUAAAAGGAACAGUAUUACAAAACGCGGCGAGCGGCUGUACACAGUGCACCAUAAUAGGAAAGCGCAUCGUAAGUACAACUGCAUCCUUCGUCAGCGACUCCACAUUUCCCCCACGGACACAUGAAGAGUUCGUGACGGGAAAGUACGACCAAGUGGGAAAAAAACAUCGGCUGAGGGCUACUCCUUUGGAGAAG